Caranx melampygus (bluefin trevally) is the source of this 82-nucleotide non-coding RNA. The record is from the annotation of a GenBank genome assembly. NCBI's taxonomy places the organism in Eukaryota, Metazoa, Chordata, Actinopteri, Carangiformes, Carangidae.
GGUAGUGUGGCCAAGUGGUCCAAAGCACUGGGUUAAGGCUCUAGUCUCUCAGGCAGCAUGGGUUUAAAUCCCACCACUGCCA